RNAcentral lists this transfer RNA (83 nucleotides) under Candidatus Heimdallarchaeota archaeon LC_2. RNAcentral's name for it is "tRNA-Ser". It matches the Rfam family "tRNA". Rfam says of the family: Transfer RNA (tRNA) molecules are approximately 80 nucleotides in length. Their secondary structure includes four short double-helical elements and three loops (D, anti-codon, and T loops). The record is from RNAcentral. Lineage: Archaea; Promethearchaeati; Candidatus Heimdallarchaeota.
GGUGCGGUGCGAUAGCCUGGUAGUCGGCAGGACUGCUAAUUCUGUGCCCUUGUGGUUCGGGGGUUCAAAUCCCCCCCGCAUCA